UGUCUAAAAGGGUGGACAGAAGGUCUUGAGUUCUAAACAUACACCACAAUGUGCUGUGUAGCUGACAACAGACAUCUAUAUAACCAAGUGACCUAGAGCUUUACAUAUCAUUGGUUGGUUGCUUCAGCAAAGUUUUUUUGACAGACUCUGGGCCAAUUUCAAAGAUGGCAGAAAAGAGGAAGUCUCCAACAUGCUGGUUCAGUCUGCCCAUGUGUGUGGAAGAGGGUUGAAUGCUGCCUUGGUCACUGUCACCUUGUGUGAUUCUCUGGAUACUUCUGGAACCCUCUAGAAUUCCAUUAGAGCUCCACGUAGAAAAUUUCUCCUUGACAUUUUUAUACAUUGGGCAGAUCAGCAAAAAGUGCUGAGCAAUUUUUUCCACUGAUGAUUUCAGAAUACAAAGUCAUGUCAUUGCUAGAUUUACGCUGAUAACGCUACUUAAGCACCAUACUCUAGAUAAUCUUUGAGCAUUUGUGGUUCCUGCUUUGAACUGCUCAAGUCUAAUUAACAGAUCUGAGUGAUGGAUAAAUUGCUAAUAAAAUUCAA
Mauremys reevesii (Reeves's turtle) is the source of this 543-nucleotide long non-coding RNA. RefSeq lists it as uncharacterized. The transcript is spliced from 3 exons. NCBI's taxonomy places the organism in Eukaryota, Metazoa, Chordata, Testudines, Geoemydidae. The record is from RefSeq and is a predicted model, not a curated record.